This 398-nucleotide ribosomal RNA is filed under the name uncultured bacterium. RNAcentral's name for it is "partial 16S ribosomal RNA". It matches the Rfam family "Bacterial small subunit ribosomal RNA", at positions 523 to 918 of the family's 1533-position model. The record is from RNAcentral.
AUACGUAGGGUGCGAGCGUUGUCCGGAAUUACUGGGCGUAAAGAGCUCGUAGGUGGUUUGUCGCGCCGUCUGUGAAAUUCCGGGGCUUAACUCCGGGCGUGCAGGCGAUACGGGCAUAACUUGAGUACUGUAGGGGAGACUGGAAUUCCUGGUGUAGCGGUGAAAUGCGCAGAUAUCAGGAGGAACACCGGUGGCGAAGGCGGGUCUCUGGGCAGUAACUGACGCUGAGGAGCGAAAGCAUGGGUAGCGAACAGGAUUAGAUACCCUGGUAGUCCAUGCCGUAAACGGUGGGCGCUAGGUGUAGGGGUCUUCCACGACUUCUGUGCCGUAGCUAACGCAUUAAGCGCCCCGCCUGGGGAGUACGGCCGCAAGGCUAAAACUCAAAUGAAUUGGCGGGG